Molecule: microRNA precursor, 114 nt
Filed under: Lupinus angustifolius (narrow-leaved blue lupine)
Lineage: Eukaryota; Viridiplantae; Streptophyta; Magnoliopsida; Fabales; Fabaceae
Description: pre miRNA MIR403
Source: RNAcentral
GCAAAUUGCAGGUUUGUGCGUGAAUCUAAUUCAUGAAAGAGAUUUUGGAGGACUUUCAUUUUCUUUUCUAUUCCAUCUCCGUAUUAGAUUCACGCACAAACUUGUCAUUUUCCU